RNAcentral lists this ribosomal RNA (826 nucleotides) under Arthrobacter sp. MT20. RNAcentral's name for it is "bacterial SSU rRNA". It matches the Rfam family "Bacterial small subunit ribosomal RNA", at positions 576 to 1399 of the family's 1533-position model. Lineage: Bacteria; Bacillati; Actinomycetota; Actinomycetes; Micrococcales; Micrococcaceae. The record is from RNAcentral.
CGGUUUGUCGCGUCUGCCGUGAAAGUCCGGGGCUCAACUCCGGAUCUGCGGUGGGUACGGGCAGACUAGAGUGAUGUAGGGGAGACUGGAAUUCCUGGUGUAGCGGUGAAAUGCGCAGAUAUCAGGAGGAACACCGAUGGCGAAGGCAGGUCUCUGGGCAUUAACUGACGCUGAGGAGCGAAAGCAUGGGGAGCGAACAGGAUUAGAUACCCUGGUAGUCCAUGCCGUAAACGUUGGGCACUAGGUGUGGGGGACAUUCCACGUUUUCCGCGCCGUAGCUAACGCAUUAAGUGCCCCGCCUGGGGAGUACGGCCGCAAGGCUAAAACUCAAAGGAAUUGACGGGGGCCCGCACAAGCGGCGGAGCAUGCGGAUUAAUUCGAUGCAACGCGAAGAACCUUACCAAGGCUUGACAUGAACCGGAAAGACCUGGAAACAGGUGCCCCGCUUGCGGUCGGUUUACAGGUGGUGCAUGGUUGUCGUCAGCUCGUGUCGUGAGAUGUUGGGUUAAGUCCCGCAACGAGCGCAACCCUCGUUCUAUGUUGCCAGCACGUGAUGGUGGGGACUCAUAGGAGACUGCCGGGGUCAACUCGGAGGAAGGUGGGGACGACGUCAAAUCAUCAUGCCCCUUAUGUCUUGGGCUUCACGCAUGCUACAAUGGCCGGUACAAAGGGUUGCGAUACUGUGAGGUGGAGCUAAUCCCAAAAAGCCGGUCUCAGUUCGGAUUGGGGUCUGCAACUCGACCCCAUGAAGUCGGAGUCGCUAGUAAUCGCAGAUCAGCAACGCUGCGGUGAAUACGUUCCCGGGCCUUGUACACACCGCCCGUCA